AUGGAUCUCAAAUAAAUUAAAACUACCCCGCUGAAUUUAACCUAUACCAUAAACGGAAGGAA
Molecule: ribosomal RNA, 62 nt
Filed under: Cyclotella atomus var. atomus
Lineage: Eukaryota; Bacillariophyta; Thalassiosirophyceae; Thalassiosirales; Thalassiosiraceae
Description: partial large subunit ribosomal RNA
Source: RNAcentral